ACGAAGUUAUGGAAAUGGCCGAUAAAAAUGCAAUGAAAUUUGAUUCAGCAUGAUUUUCAUUCUCAGCGAAAUAAAUGGCGAGGGCAACACAAAAUUCCGAUCUGGAAUUUCACAUCAGGAAUAGUUACCCAUGGUCAAAACUCCCACCUAGCGUCAAACAGUCUUUAGGUAACAAUCAGAGAGAAUGGGAAAGAAACGUGUUUGAAUUUAGUGUUAAGAACCAGCUUCGGCAUCGAGGGAAUUUGGUUCGACAAAUUAGAAAAGAUGAGAAGAAAUAUUAUGAAGACUUGUUGGCAUACAGCAGAGAGCAUCUAAUGCUGUAUCCAUACCACCUGGCAGAUGUGAUUGUCAAAGGACUGAGGAUAACUCCCUUCGGUUAUUACAUUGAGAUGAUGAAGGAUGUCAUGUCAAAGGAAAAGAGUUACGAUUCCUUGCCAAAUUUUGCUGCAGCUGACUGCCUUCGUCUUCUUGGUAUUGGAAGAAAUCAGUACAUAGACUUAAUGAACCAAUGUAGAUCUUCUAGAAAAUUCUUUCGUAAGCGCCCUGUGCGUGAUCUUUUGCCAAUGAAGCCGGUCUCAUUAAAAUUUCUGGAUCCUUGGUGGACUGUUCAUGUUGGUUUUGUUACAGAAGAUGACAUCAAGGCCUGUUCCCAAGAUGAACAUGAUGCUAUCGAUGUGAUCAUUGAUUUAGACAAGAAACACAUGUGUGCUGGGCAAAUGGACAAAAAUAUUGUUCAAAGUCUAUACACAAAAGGAUUGGUUUAUCUAGAUGUUCCUAUUAACGACAGCGAUUGUAUCGUAGUUCCACCUUUGGAGAAUUUCGUUAUGAAUCGUGUCCUUGGUGACUAUUUCGAAACACUGCUAUAUAAGAUAUUCGUUUCCAUCGACGAACAUACAAACGUCGCAGAGCUCGCUAAUGUUCUUCAAAUUGAUCUCCAACUUGUUAAAAAUGCCGUAUCCGUGUAUUGUCGUCUUGGGUUUGCGUUCAGAAAGGAUUAUGAAACGGAGGAAAAGGAACUUCAUCCAUCUUGGGAAAAUAUAAAUCCAGUUUCUCCACGAAGGUCAAACAGUCGCGAGAAUUUACUGGUUGAUAUAAACGGCACAGGAACAUCGUCCGAAACAUCAUCUGUGAGUAACGGCAUGGAUGGUGAGACCUCUCCUGGGCAAUCCAUUUCACCUACCCUAGAUAUGAUAAAUGGUCCUGGAAAGAGGAUAGCAUUUUUAUUUGACUCUGCUUUAACGGCGUUUCUCAUGAUGGGAAACCUUUCUCCGGGUCUGAAGAACCAUGCUGUGACCAUGUUUGAAGUUGGGAAACUAAGCGAUGAAUCUCUAGACAGUCUGAUGUUAGAACUUGAAAAGGUGGGUCGUGAAGCCGAGGACGAAGCCGAAGGCGAAGCAGAGAGAUAUUUUCACCACGCUAUCACACUACGCAAUACAUUAAUCUUCUUACGACAUAAUAGAGAAUUAUUCAAGAAUGAUGAGACAUUGCCGCCGAUGGGACUUGAUAUGCUGCGGUGUGAAAGUUUAAACAGUUUGGACGCAGCAGCUUGCAGUCGGGUUCUUCAGAAGAAUUACAGUGUUCUGCUAUCCAUGGCUCCGUUGAGCAGUGAAAUACGACCAAUUGUUAGCUGUGAUCCACCUCAUAUUGGACCGGCAAUACCAGAGGUCAAUUCAGUUUGGUUCAAAUUAUUUCUAUAUGAAACUACCGGUUCCGGACCUCCAUCGAUGUUAAUUGUAAAAGGAUCACGGCUAAGAAGACUUCCCAAAAUAUUCGAGGGGUUUGAUAGACUGUUGAUAGCGACGUGGGGUCAUGAUCCUACAGCAGUUCCUGUCUCAAACGUGCUCGUAGCUCUCAAUGAUGCUCUUACACAUUCCGCUGUUCUCAUACAGGGUUAUGGUAUGCAUCGUGAAGGGAAAAUACAUCGAAUAUCAUUUCCCUUUCAAACAAAUGACGAAAACAAUGAAAGCGACCUUCCGGGGCACGAUCUCAUCGACCAUCCAGCUGUUCAGGCCCUGUCACGUUCUAUAGACAUGCAAAACACGUGCGGGUACAUCACUUUGCUAAAUCCGCACCUUACAUCACGUACCGAGACAGACGUCGAGGACAACGCAAGCAUGUUUAAAUUCGUUGGCGAUUCUCGUUCCGAGGACCUGAUGCAACUCAACGGCCAGGAUAAUGAAACCGGGCUUGUCUCGGGGACUGAGGAGAGCGAGCAUUGCGAUGAGACGCAGGUGGUAAAGAACGGUGACCGUGUAAAGAAUUUCGAAGACUGGUGCCUACUCGAUAUGCAUUUUGGGCUGCCGUUAUUUGAUGCAAAGUUAAAUCAAGAAAUUAGUUUAAAAAUAUCUAAAGAGAAAUUAUUUCAUAAAGACAAUUUACAGAAGUUAGUUAACUCAAGUCGACGGCUUUCCCUCCGUUUGCUGGAUUUUAUCUCAAACAAUCAGGACAUGGCUCUGGUGCAAGACUCAUUCGAUACAACGUCCAACAACAGUGAAUUUUCCUGUCCAUAUCCAACCCGAAAUCUAACAUUUUACCUGGGCAAAUUAACCAGGACAAAUAGCAGAUGAUACAGGAUAAAUAUUUUACGCUAAAUUAAAUAUAUAGUAACUGUGUACAUACAUAUGCUGUCCAGUUUCCACUCAAGCCUGUCCCAAAAUGCAAACAUAAGCAUUGGCCUAAAAAAGAGGCGUUUUAUUUAGACCAAUCAGCAAGUUUGUUUUUAAUUUUUCAGUUACCCAAUCAGAAUGCAUAAA
RNA transcript from Dendronephthya gigantea, 2753 nucleotides. It is a transcript of the gene named protein FAM91A1-like, with no coding region annotated. The transcript has 25 exons. Lineage: Eukaryota; Metazoa; Cnidaria; Anthozoa; Malacalcyonacea; Nephtheidae. The record is from RefSeq and is a predicted model, not a curated record.